CGCGAUUACUAGCGAUUCCAACUUCAUGGAGUCGAGUUGCAGACUCCAAUCCGGACUACGAUACACUUUCUGGGAUUAGCUCCCCCUCGCGGGUUGGCGGCCCUCUGUAUGUACCAUUGUAUGACGUGUGAAGCCCUACCCAUAAGGGCCAUGAGGACUUGACGUCAUCCCCACCUUCCUCCGGUUUGUCACCGGCAGUCUCAUUAGAGUGCCCUUUCGUAGCAACUAAUGACAAGGGUUGCGCUCGUUGCGGGACUUAACCCAACAUCUCACGACACGAGCUGACGACAGCCAUGCAGCACCUGUGUCCACUUUCUCUUUCGAGCACCUAAUGCAUCUCUGCUUCGUUAGUGGCAUGUCAAGGGUAGGUAAGGUUUUUCG
RNAcentral lists this ribosomal RNA (381 nucleotides) under uncultured Ralstonia sp. Its description in RNAcentral is "partial 16S rRNA". The record is from RNAcentral. Lineage: Bacteria; Pseudomonadati; Pseudomonadota; Betaproteobacteria; Burkholderiales; Burkholderiaceae.